This 254-nucleotide ribosomal RNA is filed under the name uncultured bacterium. RNAcentral describes it as "partial 16S ribosomal RNA". It matches the Rfam family "Bacterial small subunit ribosomal RNA", at positions 524 to 776 of the family's 1533-position model. The record is from RNAcentral.
UACGGGGGGAGCAAGCGUUGUUCGGAUUUACUGGGCGUAAAGGGCGCGUAGGCGGCCAGCACAAGUCAGUUGUGAAAUCUCCGAGCUUAACUCGGAAAGGUCAACUGAUACUGUGCGGCUAGAGUGCAGAAGGGGCAACUGGAAUUCUCGGUGUAGCGGUGAAAUGCGUAGAUAUCGAGAGGAAUACCUGCGGCGAAGGCGGGUUGCUGGGCUGACACUGACGCUGAGGCGCGAAAGCUAGGGGAGCGAACGGG